RNAcentral lists this ribosomal RNA (465 nucleotides) under uncultured bacterium. RNAcentral's name for it is "partial 16S ribosomal RNA". It matches the Rfam family "Bacterial small subunit ribosomal RNA", at positions 338 to 795 of the family's 1533-position model. The record is from RNAcentral.
CCUACGGGAGGCAGCAGUGGGGAAUAUUGCGCAAUGGGCGAAAGCCUGACGCAGCGACGCCGCGUGAGGGAUGAAGGUCUUCGGAUCGUAAACCUCUGUCAGCAGGGAAGAACGGUCACUGUGCUAAUCAGCAGUGAAUUGACGGUACCUGACUAAGAAGCCCCGGCUAACUACGUGCCAGCAGCCGCGGUAAUACGUAGGGGGCAAGCGUUAUCCGGAUUUACUGGGUGUAAAGGGAGCGUAGACGGCAGCGCAAGUCUGGAGUGAAAGCCCAUGGCUUAACCAUGGAACUGCUUUGGAAACUGGGCAGCUAGAGUGCAGGAGAGGUAAGCGGAAUUCCUGGUGUAGCGGUGAAAUGCGUAGAUAUUAGGAGGAACACCAGUGGCGAAGGCGGCUUACUGGACUGUAACUGACGUUGAGGCUCGAAAGCGUGGGGAGCAAACAGGAUUAGAUACCCUUGUAGUC